UAAUUAUUACUCCUGAAAUGAAUGAAAUUUUUAAUCAUUUGGUACUCAUACACCAUUUAAGAAGAGUAAGAUCAUUUCCAAUUAGUGAGUAUAUUUCAUCGGAGCUCGCCGGAGUAUUUUGGCCGGAGCUUUUAGGAAACCGGGAAGAAAGACAAUAGAAGUAUAGAACUGAGAAGCACCCGACCCGACCCGACAAAAUCCCCUUUCUCAACACCCCGUAGAAUAGUCAUUCGAAAUUCAAUUUUAGGGUUCUUAAGGCUCAUUUCACGCUUAACAAAUGGAUGUUGAUAUAUCCCGUUGGAUUCUCGAAUUCAUCCUCCGACAACCGCUCGAUGACAGCAUACUCAACGCUCUAAUUCACACUAUUCCACUUCCAAACGACAAUUUGAACCUCAAAAAAGCCCUAAUCCUCAGAAAACUUGAAUCCGAGAUUUCUAACGGUUCAGUUACUGAGAAAAUCCUCGAACUUCUCGAACUAUUCGAGGAACUAGAUCAUCAAGAAGGAACUGAAACUUUAAAGGAACUGAAAUCCGCGUACUGUGCGGUGGCAGUGGAAUGCACGGUGAAAUUUUUGAAUGAAAAAGGGGCGGAAAGUGAUAAAGGAAAGUAUUUUGAAGCAGUAAAGAGGAUAUGGAAAAAGAGAAUUAAUUUAAUGGAAAAAAUGGAGAAUGUAGGGUUCGUAUGUGAAGAGUUAUGGGAUUGGAGGGAUGAAAUAGAAGCAGCGUUAUGGGAAGAUAAGUGUUGUGAUAAUGUGAUAAGGAGAAGUAAAGGCAUAUUUCCUGUUGAGGCGGUUAUGGUUUUCGUUAGAGAAGCUAAAGAGAGAAUUGGGCCUCCUUUUCUUGAUGUUGUGGCGGAGACUUACAGGAGUGAUGAUACGGUGAGGGCAUUUUUUGGAGGGGUGAACGAACAAGGGACUUGCAGGAAUAAUGUCAGAGAAGUGCGCAAAGGAAAUGCAUUGCCCAGGCAGAAGCAUGUUGCUUUCAGACGCACCAGAGGAGCAUUAGCUCGGACAUGUGGAGGUGUUAGGAUCAGUGACUCUAUUGAGUUAGGACUUGAUGCAUCUGGUAGACAGGACUUCCUGCCUACGCCUGAAAUCGAGAAAGCACAGGAAGCACUUAAAUUGAGUUCGAUGGAGCUGCGUGCUAUGGUGAAGGAUCCUCUACCUGAUGUACUACAGUUUGCUGAGACUCUGUCUUCUUUGGUGAGGGAUCAUAUGGGUCAUCAGCCUGCCGAAAAUAACAGUGACAGAGCCCCUUAUCCAGUGGUUGCCAGUAGCAGAAUGGAUCAAGUUAAUGGAGAGAAUUGUGAGGCACAGCGUAAUUGUCAUCCUAGUGCUGCAUCCAAGCCAGACCUAAUGAACCGAAAGAGUGCUGCCCAUACAUCUGAGUGGGACGAUUCAGCAGACGAGUUGAUUGAAGGAUCACCAAGUGGCGCGAGGAGGUUUACAUUACCUAGCCCGAAGAGGACGAAAAUCUCUCCCUUGAAGAAAUAUGAAUUUAAAAAAUUCACCACGAGGAGAAAGCCCACGAAAUGGAGUGCGUUGGAAGAAGACACUUUGAGAACUGGUGUAAAGAAGUAUGGUUCCGGAAAUUGGACGCACAUCUUAAAUACUUAUCGUGACAUAUUUGUAGUGAGGACUGCGGGUGACUUGAAGGACAAGUGGAGAAACAUGAUGUCGUAGAGAUUUAUUUUGAAGAAAUUUGCUAAUGUAUGUGCCUUUUGUUUUGUUUACCAGAGAGUAUCUCAGCAGAUGCAAAGCCUAGAUUGUUAAUAUGAGAGAUGAGUACCGUCUGCCUCGAUUUCUUCUGGGUUGCAGUGUGGUGGUUCCGUCGAAUCCGGAAAGCAGCUCAAGUGACUCGAUUUUAAACAGCUAUCUGCUAAUAGUUCUUGCAGCUCUGCCACUUGCGCUGCUAUGUGCCCUUGACCUGAGGGCAAUCGUACGUUGUGUUUUACGAUACAACACGAGAUUUCCCUUCGAGUCCUCAGAAGCUGCUACUUCACGUUUGGCAUCCAAUGGAAUGGACAAGGAUGAGUUGGAAAAGAUACCAGUGAUGGUUUACGAGCCAGGACUGAGGAUGUUUUCUGCUACAGAUUGUCCAAUAUGUCUCGGAGAAUUUGAACAAGGAGAAAAGUUGAGAAUGUUGCCAAGAUGCAAUCAUGCCUUUCAUGUCAAGUGCAUUGAUGAAUGGUUUUCAUCGCAUUCAUCGUGCCCAACUUGCAGGCAACCAUUGGUUCUACACGAUGGCGAAUCCAAAAUUUAGACGUUGUGGAGUUUGAAUUGAGCUAGAGAAUGAGUUUUUAAAUA
Molecule: RNA transcript, 2305 nt
Organism: Nicotiana tabacum (common tobacco)
Lineage: Eukaryota; Viridiplantae; Streptophyta; Magnoliopsida; Solanales; Solanaceae
Source: RefSeq, a predicted model, not a curated record